GUACGCUGGCGGCACGCCUUAUACAUGCAAGUCGAACGAAGUAGCAAUACUUAGUGGCAGACGGGUGAGUAACAUGUAGGUAUCUUCCCUUUGGUGAGGAAUAACACGAGGAAACUUGUGCUAAUACCUCAUAAGUCUUUACGGAGAAAGCUUUAUGCGCCGAAGGAUGAGCCUGCACUUGAUUAGUUUGUUGGUGGGGUAAUGGCCUACCAAGACUUUGAUCUAUAGCUGAUCUGAGAGGAUGAUCAGCCACAUUGGGACUGAGACACGGCCCAAACUCCUACGGGAGGCAGCAGUAGGGAAUAUUGCACAAUGGAGGAAACUCUGAUGCAGCGAUGCCGCGUGAGUGAAGAAGGCCCUUGGGUUGUAAAGCUCUUUCGUCGGGGAAGAAAAUGACUGUACCCGAAUAAGAAGGUCCGGC
This 421-nucleotide ribosomal RNA is filed under the name uncultured bacterium. Its description in RNAcentral is "bacterial SSU rRNA". It matches the Rfam family "Bacterial small subunit ribosomal RNA", at positions 31 to 497 of the family's 1533-position model. The record is from RNAcentral.